GUCCACGCCGUAACUAUGAGAGCUAGCCGUCGGCAAGUACACUUGUCGGUGGCGCAGCUAACGCAUUAAGCUCUCCGCCUGGGGAGUACGGUCGCAAGAUUAAACUCAAAGGAAUUGACGGGGCCCGCACAAGCGGUGGAGCAUGUGGUUUAAUUCGAAGCAACGCGCAGAACCUUACCAGCCCUUGACAUCCCGGUCGCGGUUUUCCAGAGAUGGAUUCCUUCAGUUCGGCUGGACCGGUGACAGGUGCUGCAUGGCUGUCGU
Molecule: ribosomal RNA, 264 nt
Filed under: uncultured bacterium
Lineage: Bacteria
Description: partial 16S ribosomal RNA
Rfam family: Bacterial small subunit ribosomal RNA
Source: RNAcentral